This 815-nucleotide ribosomal RNA is filed under the name Monstrilla ilhoii. RNAcentral describes it as "partial 28S ribosomal RNA". It matches the Rfam family "Eukaryotic large subunit ribosomal RNA", at positions 70 to 814 of the family's 3401-position model. Lineage: Eukaryota; Metazoa; Arthropoda; Copepoda; Monstrilloida; Monstrillidae. The record is from RNAcentral.
GGUGAUGCCCUUAGUAAUGGCGAAUGAAACGGGUAUAGUCCAGCACCGAACUGCUGAUCUUCAGAUCAUGCGGAAUGUGGUGUUUGGGAAAGUCUUAUCACACGAUGAUGACCAGUCUAAGUACACCUUGACUGGGGCCAUAGCCCAUAGAGGGUGAUAGGCCUGUAUGGCGGUUGUUAUCUUGUGCGGACUUUAUCCCUAGAGUCGAGUUGCUUGGGAGUGCAGCUCAAAGCGCGAAGUAAACUCUUCGUAAGACUAAAUAUCACCCCAAGACCGAUAGCAAACAAGUACAGUGAUGGAAAGUUGAAAAGAACUUUGAAGAGAGAGUUCAAGAGUACGUGAAACUGUAUAGUGGUAAACGGAGGCGUUUUCGAAGUUUAGAGUGAAGAUUCAGGUCGGAGAUUCGCGUCUCUGGCUGCAUUUCUUCACUCUUGAACACAACGAGCCGUUCGGACUGGAUUUGGACUGCGGAUGAAGUUUUGUUGUGCGCCUCGGCGCUCGGCCAAGCUCUGCAAAUUCUAAUUUCGGACCUUGCGGUUUUGAAAAGGUGGGCUCGUACAGCGAGUGUCCUUGCUGGCACUGCUUACCUGACUCUGUUGUGAGUAGGUCGUCGGCGUCUCUGACCCGUCUUGAAACACGGACCAAGGAGUCUAACAUGUGUGCAAGUCGCUGGGUUUACUAAACCUAUGGGCAAAGUGAAAGCAAAGAACACUUGUGUUUUAGGGGUGAUCGCUGAUCUCUCGGGAUUGGUGCGCAGCCCUGGCGUUUUGCAAUGACCUCGUUCAUGCAGAACAGCAAGAGCAUACACGUUGGGA